Molecule: long non-coding RNA, 415 nt
Filed under: Trifolium pratense (red clover)
Lineage: Eukaryota; Viridiplantae; Streptophyta; Magnoliopsida; Fabales; Fabaceae
Description: long non-coding RNA (TPRA_LNC003006)
Source: RNAcentral
UUGCUUAUUGAAUGAAAAGGCGAAAUUUCUCGGCGAGCAUUUGAACCAAACAGUUAUUUGUAUCACAAAAAAGAAAGAAAAAAAAUAAAGUCAAUUGUGUGGGGAUAGGAAGAGUAAAUUAGCGAUUUCCAUAGAGAUAUUUAACAUUAACAUAUAUUUUAUCAGUUAAUUUAUCUAUAUGUGUGGAAGUUUGACUAGACCAGAAAUACACACACACCAGAGAAAGAUAUUCCUAACCUGCCUUUACUGCUUCUUGCAACAUUUCAAGUACCAUAUGCAAGGUUUCAUCUAAUGCCUGGAAACCAUAUUAAGGUAUGCAAGGUUUCAUCUGAUGCCUGGAAACCAUAUUAAGGUACAUGGCAACAAUAGCAAAAUAUAUUCGAAAAAGGGAUUUAUAUUGUACAGUACAUGAUUA